RNAcentral lists this ribosomal RNA (447 nucleotides) under uncultured bacterium. RNAcentral's name for it is "bacterial SSU rRNA". It matches the Rfam family "Bacterial small subunit ribosomal RNA", at positions 65 to 524 of the family's 1533-position model. The record is from RNAcentral.
AGAGUUUUGAAGCUUGCUUUAGAACUCGGACAGCGGCGAAAGGGAGAGUAACGCGUAGUUAUGUACCCUAGGGUCCGGAAUAGCCACGGGAAACUGUGGGUAAUGCCGGAUAACAUCCCCGGAUCAAAGGUGUGAUUCCGCCCUAGGAGCAGACUGCGUCCUACUAGCUAGUUGGUGGGGUAAUGGCCCACCAAGGCAAUGAUGGGUAGCGGGUGUGAGAGCAUGACCCGUCUCACUGGGACUGAGACACUGCCCAGACACCUACGGGUGGCUGCAGUCGAGAAUCUUCGGCAAUGGGCGAAAGCCUGACCGAGCGAUGCCGCGUGCGGGAUGGAGGCCCUCGGGUUGUAAACCGCUGUCGUAGGGGAGGAAGGUUCCGUGAAGAGCGGAAUUUGACCUAUCCUAGGAGGAAGUACGGGCUAAGUUCGUGCCAGCAGCCGCGGUAAU